GAUGAACGCUGGCGGCGUGCCUAAUACAUGCAAGUCGAGCGAACAGACGAAGAGCUUGCUCCUCUGACGUUAGCGGCGGACGGGUGAGUAACACGUGGAUAACCUACCUAUAAGACUGGGAUAGCUUCGGGAAACCGGAGCUAAUACCGGAUAAUAUAUUGAACCGCAUGGUUCAAUAGUGAAAGACGGUUUUGCUGUCACUUAUAGAUGGAUCCGCGCCGCAUUAGCUAGUUGGUAAGGUAACGGCUUACCAAGGCAACGAUGCGUAGCCGACCUGAGAGGGUGAUCGGCCACACUGGAACUGAGACACGGUCCAGACUCCUACGGGAGGCAGCAGUAGGGAAUCUUCCGCAAUGGGCGAAAGCCUGACGGAGCAACGCCGCGUGAGUGAUGAAGGUCUUCGGAUCGUAAAACUCUGUUAUUAGGGAAGAACAAAUGUGUAAGUAACUAUGCACGUCUUGACGGUACCUAAUCAGAAAGCCACGGCUAACUACGUG
Molecule: ribosomal RNA, 497 nt
Filed under: uncultured bacterium
Lineage: Bacteria
Description: partial 16S ribosomal RNA
Rfam family: Bacterial small subunit ribosomal RNA
Source: RNAcentral